RNAcentral lists this ribosomal RNA (442 nucleotides) under uncultured soil bacterium. RNAcentral's name for it is "bacterial SSU rRNA". It matches the Rfam family "Bacterial small subunit ribosomal RNA", at positions 923 to 1379 of the family's 1533-position model. The record is from RNAcentral.
GCACAAGCGGUGGAGCAUGUGGUUUAAUUCGAUGCAACGCGCAGAACCUUACCUCGGCUUGACAUGCACGUGGUACUGACCCGAAAGGGAAGGGACCCGCGAGGGAGCGUGCACAGAUGCUGCAUGGCUGUCGUCAGCUCGUGCCGUGAGGUGUUGGGUUAAGUCCCGCAACGAGCGCAACCCUUGUCCUUAGUUGCUUUUUCUAAGGAGACCGCCGGUCUAAACCGGAGGAAGGUGGGGAUGACGUCAAGUCAGCACGACUCUUACGUCGAGGGCUACACACACGCUACAAUGGCCGGUACAACGGGCUGCUAAGGGGCGACCUGGAGCUAAUCCCACCAAAGCCGGUCUCAGUUCGGAUUGCAGGCUGCAACUCGCCUGCAUGAAGUCGGAGUUGCUAGUAACCGCGAAUCAGCAUGCCGCGGUGAAUACGUUCCCGGGC